Long non-coding RNA from Vidua chalybeata, 144 nucleotides. RefSeq lists it as uncharacterized. The transcript is spliced from 2 exons. Lineage: Eukaryota; Metazoa; Chordata; Aves; Passeriformes; Viduidae. The record is from RefSeq and is a predicted model, not a curated record.
CUGAAUUGUCCACAGCCAUGCAAGGAGAGUUAAACAAGGCAAACUUUCUAGGUGAAGGGUGGAGGCAGCAGACCAGAACAUGAGACCUGUGACUCAUGAAUGCUGCAGAAAGGAGAAACCAAUAAAAACUAUUUCUACUCUUUA